AUGGUACUCCCGCGAACAGCACCAACCACCACGAAGAAACAAGGUGAACGCAAGAAGAAAAACAAACGACAAAGGGUAGAAAAAGAACAAGACGAUACCAACUGCAAAGGUUCAGAUACCAAUGAUGAUGACGAUGACAGAGAACAUGAUGCAGAUUUCAUUCCUACAGACGGCGAUGAUGCCGAAGAGCAUGACAGCGACGCAAAACAUGACGACGAUCCCAAAUCAGGCCAGAAGGACAGAAAGAGGAGAAAGACCAGCGGAAAAGAAUUGGCAGCACCAACAGUUGACGAAGAACAGCAAGAAACAAACGAAGAGAAAUGCCAAAUCAAGGCAGGGGCAGCAUUUGCUCAUGUCAAGAAAGCAUGGGAUUUACUUAAAGACCGUCACAAGCAAGAUAUUAGGACGGCAGGAUUUGGCAGCAUAGAGAACUGCAAAAUAACGGGCUCCAUCUGCAGACCGCUUGCAGCACACAUCUACGACAACCUGGACAUAGAAAGCAUGACAAUAACCUCCGGUGAUGGUACCGAAGACAAGAAAAUCAAGAUUACCAAGGAAGCUAUACACAAGGUGUUUGGAUACCCAAACGGCACGGAAAAGUCAGCACCAAGGCCAGCAAAGAGCCCAACUUCAAUGAAAGAACUGAUGUCAGACCUUGGCUUCAAACAUACAAAUUUCACGCCAAAAGAACUGUUCACGGAGCUAAAAAAUUGGUGGAACUAG
RNAcentral lists this ribosomal RNA (723 nucleotides) under Triticum aestivum (bread wheat). Its description in RNAcentral is "partial small subunit ribosomal RNA". The record is from RNAcentral. Lineage: Eukaryota; Viridiplantae; Streptophyta; Magnoliopsida; Poales; Poaceae.